GAGUUUGAUCCUGACACAGAAGGAAGGCUAGUUAUAUGUUUCACACAUGCAAGUCGAACCUUGUUUUUUGGAGAGCUGGCAAAAGGAAAAGAGGCUCAACGCUUUGCCUCGCCUUUCGAGGUAGGAAGAGUUGAGAACAAAGUGGCGAACGAGUGCGUAACACGUGGGAAUCUGCCAAACAGUUUGAGCCAAAUCCUGAAGAAAGCUAAAAAGCGUUGUUUGAUAAGCCUGCAUAGUAUUAGGUCGUUGGUCAGGUAAAGGCUGACCAAGCCAAUGAUGUUUAGCUGGUCUUUUCGGAUGAUCAACCACACUAGGACUGAGACACGGCCCGGACUCCCACAGGGGGCAGUAGUGGGGAAUCUUGGACAAUGGGCGAAAGCCCGAUCCAACAAUAUCGCGUGAGUGAAGAAGAAAAAGACAGAGGGGAGCUGGUUGGACAAUGAAAGCAAAUUUUGAUUGAUUUCGAUGUUAAAGCUUAGGAUUCUAUCCAUUUUUC
Molecule: non-coding RNA, 496 nt
Filed under: Cucumis melo (muskmelon)
Lineage: Eukaryota; Viridiplantae; Streptophyta; Magnoliopsida; Cucurbitales; Cucurbitaceae
Also listed under: 1 other name
Description: Bacterial small subunit ribosomal RNA
Rfam family: Bacterial small subunit ribosomal RNA
Source: Rfam by way of RNAcentral